This 884-nucleotide ribosomal RNA is filed under the name Cordyceps javanica. RNAcentral's name for it is "partial large subunit ribosomal RNA". It matches the Rfam family "Eukaryotic large subunit ribosomal RNA", at positions 42 to 958 of the family's 3401-position model. Lineage: Eukaryota; Fungi; Ascomycota; Sordariomycetes; Hypocreales; Cordycipitaceae. The record is from RNAcentral.
AUCAAUAAGCGGAGGAAAAGAAACCAACAGGGAUUGCCCCAGUAACGGCGAGUGAAGCGGCAACAGCUCAAAUUUGAAAUCUGGCCCUCGGGUCCGAGUUGUAAUUUGUAGAGGAUGCUUUUGGCGAGGUGCCUUCCGAGUUCCCUGGAACGGGACGCCAUAGAGGGUGAGAGCCCCGUCUGGUCGGACACCGAGCCUCUGUAAAGCUCCUUCGACGAGUCGAGUAGUUUGGGAAUGCUGCUCAAAAUGGGAGGUAUAUGUCUUCUAAAGCUAAAUAUUGGCCAGAGACCGAUAGCGCACAAGUAGAGUGAUCGAAAGAUGAAAAGCACUUUGAAAAGAGGGUUAAAAAGUACGUGAAAUUGUUGAAAGGGAAGCGCCUAUGACCAGACUUGAGCCCGGUGAAUCAUCCAGCGUUCUCGCUGGUGCACUUUGCCGGGCCCAGGCCAGCAUCAGUUUGGCGCGGGGGAUAAAGGUGACGGGAAUGUGGCUCCCUCGGGAGUGUUAUAGCCCGCUACGUAAUACCCUGCGCCGGACUGAGGUACGCGCAUUGCAAGGAUGCUGGCGUAAUGGUCAUCAGCGACCCGUCUUGAAACACGGACCAAGGAGUCGUCUUCGUAUGCGAGUGUUCGGGUGUCAAACCCCUACGCGUAAUGAAAGUGAACGCAGGUGAGAGCUUCGGCGCAUCAUCGACCGAUCCUGAUGUUCUCGGAUGGAUUUGAGUAAGAGCAUACGGGGCCGGACCCGAAAGAAGGUGAACUAUGCCUGUAUAGGGUGAAGCCAGAGGAAACUCUGGUGGAGGCUCGCAGCGGUUCUGACGUGCGAAUCGAUCGUCAAAUAUGGGCAUGGGGGCGAAAGACUAAUCGAACCUUCUAGUAGCUGGUUUC